Molecule: ribosomal RNA, 670 nt
Filed under: Clelandella miliaris
Lineage: Eukaryota; Metazoa; Mollusca; Gastropoda; Trochida; Trochidae
Description: partial 12S ribosomal RNA
Source: RNAcentral
GGCCAAGUUAAGUUUAUUNUGGUAUAAAAGGAAGUAAAAAUAANCGCUAUUUAAAAGGUUUAAUUUAUUGUGGGGAGGUGGAAUUCUUUACACAGGAAANNUUAUAUUAGGUACUUNUUUAUAUUUUUGAUGCUUCGAUAGUUAGAUGAGAGACCGGGAUUAGAUACCCCGUUAUUUUUCCUGUAAAUUUUGAUUAUUGGAUAAUUUACCUGAGUAUUACGAGUUGGAUAUNAUUUUAUAGACUAAAAUUGUAGUUAUAGAUNUUAUUUNAGAUACUUAAAACUCAAAGAACUUGGCGGUGCCUUAUUUCCUCCCAGGGGAACCUGUCNCUGUAAUCGAUAAUCCACGAUUGAUCUUACUUUUUUUUGAAUUNNNNNNNNNNNAUAUCAGUUUGUAUACCGUCGUCGUCAGAUUACCUUUGAGAGUUAAGAAGUUGUCAGAUGAAUUAGGGAACUAGUUUUANNNNUUUAUUUUUAAUAAAUGAAAUUGUUUUAGUUUUUGACGUCAGAUCAAGGUGCAGCUUAUGGAAAAGUAGAGAUGGGUUACAAUACAGAUUUUGUAUUAUGGAUAUUAACUUGUAAUAGUUAAGUGAAAGCGGACUUGGNAAGUAAUGUUAUUUUAAUGAAGUUUAAAUUAGUAAGUUUAUGUGAAUAAAGGUACUAAGGUGCGC